AUAAUGUCGGCAUUUGCGUCCCAAUUGUUGAAAUCUCCAAUGAGGGCAGCUGACUGGGCACCAGGAGCCCACUCACGGUAAGUGAUACCUGUAUCACUAUGAGUGAAACCCAUUUUUUCGUAACCACGAGAAAAAGCUUCCAAACCACCCUCAUACUUGUCAAUUGCCUCCCUCAUUUUCUUGUACUGUGAAUACCUGUAAUCAAGGUGUUGACGAUAGUUUGUCAAAAGAGGGUCUAUUUCAUAAAUCUUCUGACCAAGUCCAGGUGGAGGUAUGCCCUUCUCUCUGAUCCUAUUAGAUUCAUCACUAAUUGUCUCUUCAGAAGUAUCUAAUGUUUUAGACUCCUCCACUUUAUCACCUUCUUGUAGUUGUAGUGAUGAAGCAAAUUCCAGCUCUUCAAUACUUCCUAUAAGAUCACUUGACGGCUCAACGUCACCGUUCUCAGUUUUAAUCUGGCUAGCGUGUUCCAUUGUUGAACUAUCUACAUCAGUUGAUGCCAGGGAAUUUUCUGGAG
This 514-nucleotide unclassified non-coding RNA is filed under the name Hevea brasiliensis (rubber tree). The record is from RNAcentral. Lineage: Eukaryota; Viridiplantae; Streptophyta; Magnoliopsida; Malpighiales; Euphorbiaceae.